GAUGAACGCUAGCGGCAGGCUUAACACAUGCAAGUCGAGGGGUAUAGUAGCAAUACUAGAGACCGGCGCACGGGAGCGUAACGCGUAUGCAAUCUACCUUUCACAGAGGGAUAGCCCAGAGAAAUUUGGAUUAAUACCUCAUAGUAUAGUAUCUUGGCAUCAAGGCGCUAUUAAAGUCACAACGGUGCAAGAUGGGCAUGCGUCCCAUUAGUUAGUUGGUAAGGUAACGGCUUACCAAGACUACGAUGGGUAGGGGUCCUGAGAGGGAGAUCCCCCACACUGGUACUGAGACACGGACCAGACUCCUACGGGAGGCAGCAGUGAGGAAUAUUGGACAAGGGGCGCAAGCCUGAUCCAGCCAUGCCGCGUGCAGGAUGACGGUCCUAUGGAUUGUAAACUGCUUUUGUACAGGAAGAAACACCCCGACGUGUCGGGACUUGACGGUACUGUAAGAAUAAGGAUCGGCUAACUCCGUGCCAGCCGCCGCCGUAA
RNAcentral lists this ribosomal RNA (492 nucleotides) under uncultured bacterium. RNAcentral describes it as "partial 16S ribosomal RNA". It matches the Rfam family "Bacterial small subunit ribosomal RNA", at positions 28 to 523 of the family's 1533-position model. The record is from RNAcentral.